ACCUUUCGGUCCUCCGUUUCUCCAACCUCGUCUUUGAGCCGCUGUGGUCGAGGAACUACAUCAGGAACGUGCAGCUCAUCUUCUCUGAAGAUUUCGGCACCGAGGGUCGAGGCGGGUCUGCAGUACCUUGUUCCAUUUCCAUGCAAUGUUCAGUGCAAACUUAAUUAGCCAAAGUUCAAUGAAAAUGAACCGAUAAUGAUGGAUGGAUUGGGUGCAGCUACUUCGACAACUACGGGAUCAUCCGUGACAUCAUGCAGAACCACCUGCUUCAGAUCCUGGCCCUGUUCGCCAUGGAGACCCCGGUGAGCCUGGACGCCGAGGACAUCCGCAACGAGAAGGUGAAGGUGCUGCGGUCGAUGCGGCCGCUGAAGGUGGAGGACGUGGUGGUGGGG
Molecule: long non-coding RNA, 392 nt
Filed under: Setaria italica (foxtail millet)
Lineage: Eukaryota; Viridiplantae; Streptophyta; Magnoliopsida; Poales; Poaceae
Description: long non-coding RNA (SITA_LNC007101)
Source: RNAcentral